UGAUGAUGUAUGGCAUGAAAAUUAUUCUGUGGUUUAUUUUUGCUACUCUCGGCAGCUUUAGAUCCGGAACUUAGCUGCAACUACCUUAGUCAGUGCUGAGCAUUGACGUACGUGGAUGGACAGAAUAGUACUUCUAGAAGAAAUAUUAACAGAAGGGUAUAUUUGGCCAUCAACGCGUACCACCCUAUUUGAGGACCUUCGUCCCAUAACAUCUCACACACAGGUUUGCAUGCUGUUUUUCAUCACAAUACUUUUGGCUAAAUCAACGAAACGGUACCAAAUUCCGCUCGGACUGCCUUCAAUCAAAUAGUUGCUGCUGCAUUCACUCAUCAACCAACUGAUUCAUAACAGAAAUUGCGUUGGGAUGGCCAACGUGAAGAAUUUUGAUAAAAUUUGAAAAGAACUACCUAGUGACACGAUUACGACGUUGAAAAAUAAUUUUAUGACCUAAAAUUGGUUCACGCUCGAUAUCUAAAUGAGCUUUUUGGAUUGUAUAUCACAGUUUAGGUUUUUGAAAAAUAAAUCACUAUGGUUUUUGCUGUCUUUUCAUUCCCUCCGACCAAUAACACAAACACAGAAACAAUUUAAAAUUUGACUAGAU
Molecule: long non-coding RNA, 601 nt
Organism: Culex quinquefasciatus (southern house mosquito)
Lineage: Eukaryota; Metazoa; Arthropoda; Insecta; Diptera; Culicidae
Exons: 4
Source: RefSeq, a predicted model, not a curated record